Molecule: ribosomal RNA, 253 nt
Filed under: uncultured bacterium
Lineage: Bacteria
Description: partial 16S ribosomal RNA
Rfam family: Bacterial small subunit ribosomal RNA
Source: RNAcentral
UACGCAGGGGGCAAGCGUUGUCCGGAUUUAUUGGGCGUAAAGAGCGUGUAGGCGGUUAGGUAGGUCCGUUGUGAAAACUCGAGGCUCAACCUCGAGACGCCGAUGGAAACCAUCUGACUAGAGUCCGGAAGAGGAGAGUGGAAUUCCUGGUGUAGCGGUGAAAUGCGCAGAUAUCAGGAAGAACACCCGUGGCUAAGGCGGCUCUCUAGUACGUGACUGACGCUGAGACGCGAAAGCGUGGGGAGCGAACAGG